Non-coding RNA from Elaeis guineensis (African oil palm), 107 nucleotides. NCBI's taxonomy places the organism in Eukaryota, Viridiplantae, Streptophyta, Magnoliopsida, Arecales, Arecaceae. The record is from RefSeq and is a predicted model, not a curated record.
AUGGCAUGGUGAGAAUAUUUUUGGAUGAGGUCUUUGAGCCUCUCCCAUAUCUCAUGGAACAUCUCCCCCUCCAUCUAGAAAAAAAUGAUUAUGGAUUUUCUAAUCUU